AGAGUUUGAUCCUGGCUCAGGAUGAACGCUAGCGACAGGCUUAACACAUGCAAGUCGAGGGGCAGCGGGAGGAAAGCUUGCUUUUCUUGCCGGCGACCGGCGCACGGGUGAGUAACACGUAUGCAACCUGCCCAUGACAGGGGGAUAAGCGGGAGAAAUUCCGUCUAAUACCGCAUAACACCCCCGGGAGACAUCUCUCGGGAGUCAAAGGAGCGAUCCGGUCAUGGAUGGGCAUGCGGCGCAUUAGUUAGUUGGCGGGGUAACGGCCCACCAAGGCGACGAUGCGUAGGGGUUCUGAGAGGAAGGUCCCCCACACUGGUACUGAGACACGGACCAGACUCCUACGGGAGGCAGCAGUGAGGAAUAUUGGUCAAUGGGCGAGAGCCUGAACCAGCCAAGUCGCGUGAGGGAAGACGGUCCUACGGAUUGUAAACCUCUUUUGUCGGGGAGCAAUAAGGCGUACGUGUACGCAGAUGCGAGUACCCGAAGAAAAAGCAUCGGCUAACUCCGUGCCAGCAGCCGCGGUAAUACGGAGGAUGCGAGCGUUAUCCGGAUUUAUUGGGUUUAAAGGGUGCGCAGGCGGAAAGUGCAAGUCAGCGGUCAAACGACGGGGCUCAACCCCGUCUCGCCGUUGAAACUGUCUUUCU
RNAcentral lists this ribosomal RNA (647 nucleotides) under uncultured bacterium. Its description in RNAcentral is "bacterial SSU rRNA". It matches the Rfam family "Bacterial small subunit ribosomal RNA", at positions 8 to 642 of the family's 1533-position model. The record is from RNAcentral.